This 422-nucleotide ribosomal RNA is filed under the name uncultured archaeon. RNAcentral's name for it is "partial 16S ribosomal RNA". It matches the Rfam family "Archaeal small subunit ribosomal RNA", at positions 323 to 746 of the family's 1478-position model. The record is from RNAcentral.
CUACGGGCGGCACCAGUUAGGAAUCUUCUACAAUGCGCGCAAGCGUGAUAGAGUGAGCCAGAGUGUUUUCCAAUUUGGAAGACUUUUAUGGAAUGUAAAAAGUUCCACGAAUAAGGACUGGGUAAGACUAGUGCCAGCCGCCGCGGUAAUACUAGCGGUCCAAGUCGCAGCCAUUUUUAUUGGGUCUAAAACAUCCGUAGCUUGUUUAAUAAGUUCUCUGUGAAAUCCUACAUCUUAAAUGUGGGGCGUGCAGGGAAUACUGUUAAGCUAGAGACUGGAAGACGUAAGAAGUAUGAUCAAAGUAGUGGUAAAAUACCUUAAUCUUGGUCAGACUCACAAUAGCGAAGGCAUCUUACGAGGACAGUUCUGACAGUAAAGGAUGAAGGCUAGGGGCGCAAAACGGAUUAGAUACCCUUGUAGUC